This 12600-nucleotide long non-coding RNA is filed under the name Salvia miltiorrhiza (redroot sage). RNAcentral describes it as "long non-coding RNA (SMIL_LNC005905)". The record is from RNAcentral. Lineage: Eukaryota; Viridiplantae; Streptophyta; Magnoliopsida; Lamiales; Lamiaceae.
ACCCGAAACUUCUAUUCUGCCCACUCUGUCAGCUUAGGCAUGCGAUACAAUUUGAGCAUUUCGAGAGCUGGAAAAACAAUGCGUGUGUCGUUGUUCACCAUUCCGUAGAAUGAUGAAUUUAUAAACUUCAAACCGCUCAUCCCUCAACACAAGGGACUUGAGAUUGGGCAAGUGCCCCAACAUUGGGAUCUCUUCACAUUCUCUGCAGUCAUCGAGUGAUACCGACAUUAACUUGUUAAGUACCACAUCUCCAACUGCCAUCUUCUGAGUCCAUAAUGGAAAUCUACUGCCAUUAAAUCCACUAAUCUCUAACUUCUUCAAGUCCGAGUGAGGUUGGAGGCCUUCCAAUACAUUCUCAUCAUUUGAUUCACCUUCUCUAUCCCAAUCCCACUUCAAACACAAAUUCAAUAUUUUUGACUUUUUGAAUAAAUUGGCUUUCCCAGCCUCUUCCUUGUCACGAACCCUUUCGAGAUUGUGAAUCUCUAACUCUCCUUUAAGAUUAUUCAAACUUCCGAGCUCUUCAAUUUUGCACCCAUUCUCGUCCCCCACUGGGAAGUACUUCAGCGUUUGGAGAGAAGUUAAUCGCCCGAUUCCCGCAGGCAACUCUACAUCAUCAUCAAUAUAAAGAUGCCUCAAGUUAAUCAAGUACUUAAUCGUACUUGGCAGUUUCUCCAAAAAUGCGUGUCUACUCUCAACGUCUGCAAGUGAAAGAAUUCACCAAUCCAAUCCGGCAAAUAUUCAAUACUUGUCUUUGAAAUGUCAAAAUAUCUCAAAUGUAUCAACUUUCGAAUCGAACUUGACAACUCUUCAACUCCAUAACCUUGAAGACGUAAAACAUGCAGACUUUCGAAGUCUGAGAAGUUGAUACCAGAAAUAUCACCUUCCAAUAAUAAUGUACGCAAAGAUUUUGCCAUUUCUUUUGGGAUAGGAUUUGUUAUAUCGUCUCCGAGAAUCAUGUAUCGAACUCGGCUGCUACCACCAGUAUUGUUAGAGGAACUUGAAACAGAAGAAGCGAGAUCGUGCACAAGAUCGUGCAUGCUACAACUUUCUACAUCUCCGUACUCAUCUCUCUUUGAAACUUGCAGCAAAGAGUUGUGCAGAAGAACGUUGAUAAAGUUUUCGCCCACAGACUCCAUGUCAUCCCUUCCAUCAGCUUGAAGAAAACCUUCUGCCAUCCACAACUCAAUCAGUUCCUGUUUCAUAAUUUCCCAGCCUUUAGGAAAUAACGCACAGUACGCAAAGCACUUCUUAAGUAAUGGCGGAGACAAAUUAUCAAAGCUCAAUCUCAAUAUUUUUGAGAUAUUAGCUCCUUCAUCUUGUGAAAGCCAUUUCUGCUCGAUGGAGAGCCAUUUUUCUUCGGAUUUAUUGCGCAGCACUCCCCCAACCACGUUGGCCGCUAAUGGCGAACCUUGGCAUCUUCUUGCAAUCUUUUUUCCAAUACUCUCAAAUUCCAUAGGAACAUUUCCUUCACCGAAGGCUUUGACUUUGAUUAUGGACCAACAAUCUUCCUCUGACAAGCCUUUCAACUCAUGUGUAUGAAGUGGAUUCACAAUUGAAGCACCCUCCAUACUUGUAUAAAGUGGAUUCGCAAUUGAAGCAACCUCCAUACUUCUGGUGGUAACAACAAUUGCAUUUCUCUUGACAGAAGUAACUCCCAGCAAGGAAUUGAUAAAAUCUUCCCAUUUUGAAGCAUCUCGAUUCCAGACAUCAUCAAGAACAAGAAGAUAAGAUUUAUCUUUCAAAGCUUGUUGAAUCUUUGAAAGAAUAUCUUGCUUACUCUCAACUUCAACUUGAUCAGAAGAAGUCAACUCUUUGAGAAUUUUCUUGAAAAGAAUGAUUGGAUCAAAAUUUGGAGAAACAUGCACCCAAAUAUGUGAUCCAAACCGAGUCUCAUGCUUGAGACGAUUGAAGACUUUUCUAGUCAAUGUCGUCUUCCCCAAUCCCCCCAUACCGACAAUGGAAAUGAUGGAAAUUGUGCGUUCAUCACUUGUGAUGCUAUUGGUGGUAAGCAUCUCAACUAUUUCCGACGCAACAUCAUCUCUUCCAAUAAAAAUUGGAUCAAGAGUGAAUGAAUCAGUUUCAAAAAUAGCAGCAUUAAGCAAAGUGGGCACAUCGGCAGCAAGCCUCUCAUUGAGGCCAAGCCCAGCUCCCUCUUUGUGAAGGGAGUCCAAACUCUCAUUGAUUUCUCGGAUUAUAACGGCCAUAUUUCUUGGUCGCGCAAUAGAAUUGAAGGAUGAUGAGAAGCACGAUAGUACCUUCGCCUUCAAGGGUUUGGUGCGCUUAAUUUCUUUGGAGAGGCGAUGAUAGUUGAGCUCAUCCAAAACGUUGUCAGCAUCGAACGCCACGUCUUCAAGCUUCUUCAGCCAGCUCUUGACAGCCUCGCCGACGCCGGGGAUGCUGCGCUGCUCCGCGUCGUUGAGGAACUUCUGGAUGGUGUCGAGACUCCCAGUUAGCUUCGCUGCUUCUUUGUCGAGACCUCGGAUUAAUGAGAAUUCAUUCUUGGAAUGGUCGAUGAGGUUUUGAACCAGAACUUUGAGGAUGGCUGCAGCAGCUUCUCCUUCCAUUGUUUCUACGAUCUGUGUGUUGUAUAGAGAGAGAAUUAGUGCAAAUGAAUGACGCGGGUGUGGGAUCAGAUCUUUCAAUGGCUCGACAUCAAAACGGCAAAUCCGAGAGAUAUCUUUCAACACUUCAUUUCUUUCAUUGCGGCUGGAAAAAAGAAGAGAGAAAGAAGACUGCUUAAUGCUUUGUGGGUGGGAACAGUGUGGUUGCUCUGGGAAAGCAGGAAUGGUAGUCGUUUUCAGGACAAGGCUUGGGAUAUUGAUAGACUUGUCUUUCAGAUUAAGGGGAGACUUUGGAGUUGGAACGAGGCCUACAAAAUCUUGGAGUUAGGAAUUCCUUUUACUUCUUGGUGUUCCAAAGACUUCAAACUUGUUUUGUUGUUCUGAUUGGCAUUCCUGAUGCCUUGAUUCAUUUUCUUUCAAUAAAAAUUUUACUUUACUGAUCAAAAAAAAAAAUGAAUGACGCGGGUUUUAAGAUGAUGUGUUGAAGAGCUUUACAGCCUUUUUCAUAUUCUAGAUAUGGUUUUCUUUUUUCAUUAAUUUUAUAUAUUUCAAUCUUUGUCGACACUUUUUUUUAUACUUUAACCAGUUAGGGUGCCUCUAAUCAUAAACUCCAUUUUUAGUUUCCAAAGUGCCACAUCAUUGUCACAUCAGCUUUAGAAACUCACCUACUUUUUCUCUUACAUCUCCUCCAACAAUAAAUUAAUUUCUUAUUUUUUAAGGGUCCCACUAUAAUACAUACUCCCUCCGUCCACCAAAUAUAUGCCACUUUACUUUCGACACGUGUUUUAAUAAAAUGUGAGUGAAGUUGGCAGUGGAGUAAGGGUCUCAUUUUAAAUGUGAGUGGAAUGGCGUGAACCCUACUACUAAAAAUGGAUGUUGCAUAUUUUUUGUGGACGGACGAAAAAGAAAAUUGUGGCAUAUCUUUGAUGGACGGAGGGAGUACUUCAUUUAUAUAUCUAUAUAUACAUUAAUUUUAUUUCAAUUACUAAUUUAUAUAUUAUUUAUAUAUUUUAAAUAUAUAUUUAAAUUAAAUUUUAUAUNUUUCUUCUCCAAAGGUUUUAGCUUUGAUUAUCGACCAACAAUCUUCCACCGAUAAACCUUUCAACUCAUGUCUAUGUAGUGGAUUCACAAUUGAAGCAACCUCCGUACUUCUCGUGGUAACAACAAUGGCAUUUCCUUUGACAGAACUAACUCCCAACAAAGAAUUGAUAAAAUAUUCCCAUUUGGAACGAUCUUCAUUCCAUACAUCAUCGAGUACAAGAAGAUAAGUUUUGUCUUUCAAAGCAUUUUGAAGCUUUGAAAGAAUAGCUUGCGUACUCUCAUUUUCACCUUUAUCAGAAGUCAAUUCUUCGAGAAUUUUCUUGUAAAGAAUGAUUGGAUCAAAAUUUGGAGAAACAUGCACCCAAAUAUAUGAUCCAAACCGAUUCUCAUCCUUGAGACGAUUGAAGACUUUCCUAGUCAAUGUCGUCUUCCCCAAUCCCCCCAUCCCGACAAUGGGAAGGAUGAAAACUGCGCGUUCAUCAGUUGUGAUGCUACUGGUAAGCAUCUCAACUAUUUCCGACGCAACAUCAUCUCUUCCAACAAAAAUUGGAUCAAGAGUGAAUGAAUUAGUUUCCAAAGUAGCAUUAACCAAAGUGGGCUCAUUGGCAAGUUUCUCUACGAGGCCAAGCUCAGCGGCCUCUUUGUUAAUGGACUCCAUAUUUUCAUUGAUUUCUUUGAUUUUAAGAGCCAUAUUUCGAGAACGUGAAAUAUGGUUGAAGCAUGAGAAGCAUGAUGGUACCUUUGACUUCCUGGGUUCAGCGGGCUUGGAUUGUUCGGAGAGAAUAUCAUAGUUGAAUUCAUCCAAAACAUUGUCAGCAUCGAACGCCUCAUUUUCAAGCUUCUCCAGCCAGCUCUUGACAGCUUCGCUGGUGAUGUCACGCUUCUCGGCAUCGUUCAAGAAGUUCUGAAUUGUUUUGAGACUCCCAGCUAGCUUUGCUGCAUCUUUUUUGAGACCUCGGAUUUGUGAGAUCUCUUUCUUGCAAAGGUCGAUGAGGUUUUGAACCAGAACUUGAAGGACGGCUGCACCAGCAUCUUCCAUUGUUACUGCUCUUUGUGUGUGGGGGAGAGUUUCUUUCUGCUCUGUGUAUGCGAGAGAGAAUGAGUUGGUGCAAAAUGAACAAGAGUUGACAAAAUUUCUAUUUAGAUCUAGACUUUGUUUUUCAUUUUUCGAUCUAGUCUUUGUUUUUCAUUUUUUAAAUAGAUUCCAAUGUCAUCAUCUCGUAAAUAACAAUAUGUUUUUAUAGAACCAAUUGUUUUAUAUCAACUAGGCAGCAAUAUGAAAAUAGAGUCUUGUUAUUAAUGAAUCCAAAUAGUAACACUGAUCAAUUACCACCUUAAUGAAUUUUCUUUCUAACAAAAACUAGGACAUACUUAUUCCAGCUUGUAUAAAUAUUUGUUAUAUAAUAAAAUCUAAUUGACCUUUAUUACUAAAAAAAAUUAUGUGCCCUAAUUUAUUUAUAAAAAAAAUGGCACUGCAAAUUAAAAAUUGUUUUUCUGGCAGCCGCCUCAUGAUUACCGACGUCAAAUGCCUCUGGUAAUCUCGCGUUUUUUUGUAGUGUCCCUAUAAGAUGGUGAGAAAAAAAAAAAUUAUACUUGUGAGUUCCAAUAAUAUCCAUCGUUUUAUUCAAUAGAGUAAUCUAUUUAAAAUAAUAAUUAAUAAUUUACUAUUUAUUUUAUCCUAAAACUCAUAAUCUUCAAAUUAAAUAUCAUAUAAUCUAUGGUCCUCAAAUUAUUAUAAGAGAUAAUUCUAUUCAUAUCCACCGUUUUAUUAUUUGUUGGAUGCUAUCGAGUCAUUUUGUCACCCACACUAGAUAAAGACCUUCAUUCUUCCACAAUUCUCUAAUUCAAAUUUCUUUUGUCAAAUUGAUUUACUACUGGUGAAAGUAUAUAAAGAGGAAUAAGGAUAAAGAUAUUGUCGUCGUGAAUACAAAUUCUUCAAUCAAGAUUGCGAAAAAUUUGAAUUUUUUGAACAGAGAAAUGAGGGGUUGGAGAGUUCUCUUAAAAAAGAGAGAUGUUGGGAGGUUUGACUAUCCUUGGUGGAAAAAAAUGAAAAUAAUUUAACUUAUGAGAAAGCACAUUAUCUUUAUUAAUUCCACUUGUUUUGUUUCUACCUUGACUUCUUCUUCAUCAUUCAAUUAUUCUUUCUCAUCGCGUGAAUGUAUUGAUCUAGCGGUGAGUGAUUAAAUACUUGACAUCAAAGGUCUUGAAUUAUUGCACGGUCUUUAAAUUUUUUUAUUUAAUAAUUGUAAUUUAUCAAAAAUACUAGAAACAAAUAUUAUUGACUAUUCUACUCAUUCAAAUGGAAUAUACAUUAAAAUUAAUACUUAUUCUAUGUGAGGGCAACAACUCUCCGACGACGAAAACUCAAUAAUAGAGCAGCAAGUCUGUGACCAUUUUUCAACCACUAUGACGAGGAAAACUCUAUAAUAAGGUUUUAAAAUGAUAAGGUGACUCAUCAUCAGUUGUUAUAAACUCUAUAAUAAGGUUUAAAGAUAAGGUCAGUCAUCAUUAGCUGGCAUAUUGAAAUGUUCAAAGUAAGUGCUUUUAAGAAUUCUUUAAUGUUAUUAUUAGAGAUAACAUAGUCUAUUAUAUGAAUACAUUAUUGUACAAGAUAGUUUAAUUUGUGUUGAAUUAAUCAUCAUAAGAUUUGAGAGAUCUCUUUCUUGGAGAGGUCGAUGAGGUUUUGAACUAGAAAUUGAAGGGAAGCAGCUUCUCCUAGCUUCCAUUGUUUCUGCUCUUUGUGUGUGUGGAAGAGAGAUUUUUUUUUUUGUUUGAUAAAUUAUAUAAUUAACUAAAGAAAUUUAAAAUCCGCACGAUGUUGAACUCGAACUCAGGAUCUCAGACUUUGACAUGAAUCACCUAGCUACCACUAGGUCAAUACAUGCACACUGUGGGAGAGGGAUUCUUUAUGCUCUCUGUGUGUGUGAGAGAGAGAGACAGAUUGGUGCAAACUGCAAAAGAGAUGACUAAAAAUUCUAUUUAGAUUUAGUCUUUGUUUUUCAUUUUUUUAAUACUCCCUCCGUCCACCAAUUCAAGGCCUACUUGCCUUUUUGGUCCGUCGACAAAAACAAGGCCUACCUAUUUUUGGUAAGUCUUUAUUCAUUAUUUAAUCAAAAAAGUCAAAGAUUCUUUACAAAAAAGUGGGACCCUUUCUCCACUCAACUAAUAAAAUACAUUUUUUUCUUAAAACCCGUGUUUUUUCAUAUAGGCCUUUAAUUGGUGGACGGAGGGAGUAGAUUUCAAUGUAAUCAAGGCAUCUUUUGCGUUAACAAGUGGUAGCUUGCUUUUCUGGCGCUAGUCAUCAUUUCUCAAUUCAUAAACAAUAUUUGUUUCUAAGAAAUGAAUUACUAUUUUUUAUCAACAAGGCAGCACUACAAAAACGACCGAUCGAGUCUUGCUAUUAAUCUAUUCUAAUAUAAAAUUGUCUUGGACAUAAAAUAUAGAUCGAUCGCUUUUUAUUUGGAUUGAGAAGUAUUAUUUGGAUGAGUAAGUUACUGCGUGUUAGUGAUCGGUUGCUUAUUUUUGCUGAGAUUGUUGUUUUUAAGUUUUCUGGUGCUUGAUCAUGUUUUUGCAUAUGAGUUUGGUUUUGGAUUGAAAGCAGGAAGAUUGUGAUGUGCGACUAUGUCGAUGCCAGUAGGUUUGGGUAUAACUGCUCGUUUGGUUCAAGUAGAGGAAUGGAAAAAGAUGGAAUCAAAUAAAGGAGUGGAAUGGUAAAAAUAAUCAUUAGUUUAUUAGUGUUUGGUUUAACAAUAAAAAUGAAUUAUUAGUAAGCGAUUCCAUUUCUUUUGUUUGCCCUCUAUUUUGAGGGGUACAAAUUGAGUGAUUGGGUUACCCUCAAGUAAGGGUAAUGAUUAUCUCAUUACCCAAACCAAAUAACAAGUAAUGGAUUCAAUUACUUGUUUCUCUUUCCAACCUCUAAAAACACUCAACCAAACGUGGCUAAAUCUUAUCGGUAUUGAAGUUCUUGCCAACUUCUGCAACUCAGAAGCUGCACAUUUGUGCUGCAAAGUGAGGUGUUCUCUUCAAUUAUGAUACUUACUUAAGUCUCAUAUUGCUUAAGCAUAAGUUGGAUUUGUGACUACAUAAAUACACAGUACUCGAAGGACUAUAGCUGCAAAUAUGUUACAUGAAGAGCCAUGCAUGCAAAUAAGGAAAUAUGCAUAGCCGGAAUUAGUUGCAACAGUUUGCAGAGGGGUAUAUCCCGAGCUAGUUUGGGAAGUCAUCUUAGCAGCAUAUUUUGGAUGACUCUAUCAAAUUAAUCGAGCUCGAAUAUCUUGCGAGUAGCUCCGUUCAUUUACAGUCCUAGAUGUAAGUAUUAGGGGGGCUAAACCACGUAAAUCCUUUGCUCUUGUUUGUCAAUUGCGUUGCUGAGUUCUAUCGGAUCGAUUGCUACAAUUUCUUGGUUUUGUCCAACACGUAGGCUUUCUAAUUGCUGAUUAUAUCCAUAGCGAAUUUCCAUUAAAUCCUUCAUUACGCCCAACUCCCUAUUUCUUUCGCAGUAUGGCUUUUCUAUUGCUCUUCAUUCGCAGAAAACAGCCGGUCUUCAAGUGUUGGGCAUAUAUUUAUCUGGAAGAAGAAGAGCUGUCAAGUCGUACUACGACUCGUAUUAAUUAUCACGAACGUGAAACUCUUUCAAAUUCUUACGAUCGCGCAAGAACAAAGCCAAAAGAAGAUUACAAUUUUUCUCUACCCCUUUCCAAAUACAAUCCUCGUCCUAUAUAUAUAUGAGAGAGCAGGACGAAACUUAUCUUGGAAGGAAGGAAAUUAAACUUGAUCUUAUGGGCUUAAGCACGGCCCAACAAAAUAGCUAAGCAAAGAAAUAGAAGCCCAUUUAAGCAGUAUAUCGUGUGGGCCUUCGGAUUUCUCUACGCGGACGACUUUGGGCUAGACUUGGCUCUUCCCCCACAUGGCCACAUGCACAACAUAGUAAUGGGUUGGGCCUCUUGGGGUUGAGUUUUCAGUUCGACAUGUUUCCCAUUUUCGAGCUGCAGAUAAUGGAAGGUAACAUGAGGCAAGCACAUGUGUACGUCGAGAGACGAAACAACAGAGAAGAUUCCGGAAGUGACGGCGACGACGAUGAUGAUAGGGAGGAGGGUUACCUCUUAGGAUUCUCAGAUAGUGAUCCUGCAGAAGAUGGAGAGAACCCAAGAGAAUGCAGCAUUAGCUAAACCUCUCAUUUCCCUAUUUCUACUUGAAAUACUACCUUGUUAUGUUACUUAAGUCUCAUACUGUUCGUGACUAGCUCUAGAAUUGUCCUACAUUUAUUUAGAGUAUAAUUUAGUUCCCAUUAUUUUUGUAGAAUAUUUAACUCCCUUUAUACGGCUGGUAUCAUUAAUAUCACUAAUUUUAAGAAUUAUUAGCAGAAAGAACGUAUGUUACAUGUAAUUAAUAUUAUUUUAUUUGAUAAUCUAUUAUUUUAGAAAAUUUAUUAAUUCAUUACUUUUAUUAAUUAGAUAACUUAUUGAAUGGAUAUAUUUAUCUAUAAGCUUAUCAAUAGCUAUAGAUAUAUAUCACAUAGAUUUAGUGUAAUAUCUAAUGAAUUAAUAUAUAUAUAUUCUUAUAAUUAUAUAAUUUGUAAAAUAACCUUAAAAUGAAAUAUAUAAUAUGGGUAAAAUAGGCAAUCCACAAGUUGUGCCUUGAUGCCUUAGGCUCUUUUUCUAUUAGUAUAGAUAUAAAAAUCAAACCUUGAUUUGUUUAUUUUCCAUACAACUUCAAAUAAAUUAAGGUUAUUAGCCUAUAAAUACACAAAAUUUUUAAACUUUCUGAAAUUUAAUAUGACUUUUAUUAAUACACAAACUUAACGUUUUUUUUUUUUUUAACACCGCGAAAAAAACUCUAUUUAUUGUUGACGUAGAGGCCGUACAUGACAUGUACUACGGAGUUGGCACGUCAAAUUAAAUGUAAUCAAAAUAUUUUGGUUUGAUUUGGUUUAGGUUUAAGCUUUUUUUUUCUUUAAAUUUUUAAACAUUUUAAACGAGGCUAAUUUCGAAUUGAGAUUAAUGUGGAGCCCCUAUUUCGAUCCAUCCGCUCAUGGCUACUUCUCAUCACUUGAAUAUUCCUGGAGUUAAUUGAAACAUGGUAGCUUGAUGAAUGGUAGCAAAUAAAAAAGAGAGCUCUCCCCUCUAUGCCACAACCACCACUUCCUCCACCGCCGAAGCCAACACCUAACACCAUUGAAGAAAUUCAAGAAUUGGUAGAUAGAUAAAGAGGAACAUUUAAUAAUUUAGGAAUCGGCCUUGCUAAUUUCAGGCCUAACACGAUAACUAUCUGAUCAGCUUGAAAUGGGAUGCUGGAAGUGAGAUUCAACGUGACCUUGAGGCCAAUGGGCGUGCGGCGCGCAACAAAUUCCUCAUUGACGUUGGUCUGACUUGAAUCGAGCUAUAAGAGCACGGCCGAACCUACGGUCGUCAACCAUAAAUCAAUGGAAGCUACUCUAUUAAGACUUUAGUGAGACUAUCUCAGCUACCAAACAAGGAAAUAAAAGGCAAACAUGUUUGCUAUCUAAACUUAUUUUCUAAGACCUGUAAUAAUUGUUCUACAAUGAUAGUCCAUGCAAAAUGAAAAGUUGUUUCAAAUCUUCAACACUUCAUGCUAAAACAGAAUGGGGAAAUCAUUUACAGUCACAAUCAAAAGGUAGAGGAAGACAUAACAAAAAGUCACAUAGUAUAACAUAAAUAUAAAAACAUGAGUAGAAGUGGAGAUGCUUUGUCUGUCUGCAAAUUGAUAUUCACAUGCAUCCUCUUCAACUUUCGGCAUAAUAAUCCUAUCAACAAAAGUUCAAAUCAAAGAAUAUAUGGGAAAUUACAAUGUGACGAUUCUUAGCAAAACAAAAUUAUGAAAAGAGAUUGAGCAAGUCAUCAUCAUGGAGAAAAUGGACACUCACUCAAUCCUUCUUCAUUGAUCCAUUGCUUCACCUCCUAAUUUGUUAGAAUCACCUCAAUGACAAAUGACGAUUCACCGUAAUUCUGUAGUAAACAAACUCAAAACAAUUAAUCUCAUAUCGUUUAAGCAUAUCGAGAUGAAGUGGAGCACCAAACGAAUAACAACUGAAUUGGAAUUAAACUCCAUAAAGUAAGAUACGGUACCUCAAUUUCUGAUAAUUUUUUUUUCAAAUAAAUUAAAUACACAUGUAAUUGUUUCUAUAUAUAUAAAAAUAAAAAAGAAAAUAUAUUGAUACUCACUUUGACGGUCAAUGUUGAUGUUGGGGAUAUGGGAAACCUUGGGCCAUUCAGAAUCAGCUGCAUCACUUUUAAUCACUAAUUCCGGGGAACCCAUAAUAUAUAGUUUUUUUAAUGUUGUGAGGCGAUGCAUUGCAUCCAUAGAGGGUAGACGCCUUAGCCUUUUGCAGUUACAUAACCACAACUCCUUUAGGGAUGAGAGGUUCCCAAACCAUUCAGGUAACUCUUCCAUUCCAAAAUUAUUUAACUUUAGCCUAGAAAGAGCAGUGAGAAGUUGAAUUGAUUCCAGUAGGCAUUCUCGACUUUCCAUCCCCGUCAAAGUCAAGCUAUAAAGCGAGUGGCAGCAUCCUUGCAAUAUGGCAUCCACAGUCUCCACCCCCAUACUAACAUCGAUACUUAUUCGUCUCAAGCUGGGAAAAGGCGAAAUCUCAAGACCACAAGUGGCCAUAAAUUUAGGAACUCCUUCGACUCUCAAUUCUGUUAGACGAGGUAAUUUUGGGAGGCAGUCAAUUAGCGCUACUUAAUUCCACCAAUGACAGCUUCUCAAGAGAGAAUCCUAGCAUUUCACAUGGCAAAUGCUCCAAUGCUUUGCAUCCACUAAUCCAGAUUUCGCGAAGGGAUGUGAAGCUUCCUUGUGAUUGUUCUCCACCGCUAUCUCCUAAUUCUCUCAAAUUGGAGCAGUAACUUAUUUCCAAAUGAGAGAGAGUCUGGUUGUUACUGAAUAACCAAUCAGCUGGGAGACAUUCCACACCAAUUACAAUGAUUUUCAAAUGUUGAAGGCAUGACGAGACAUGACUUGGAACACUCAUCAAUUGCAAGCACAAAUUAAUUUCCAAAUGUUGGAGGCGAGGAAAUAGCUUCACUUCACUUCCACCCGAAACUUCUAUUUCUGCCCACACUUCCAGCUUAGGCAUGUAUUUCAAUGUGAACCUCUCGAGAGCUGGAAAAACAAUGUGUGUAUCUUUGUUCACCAUUCCGUAGAAUGAUGAAUUUAUACACUUCAAAUUGCUCCAUCCAUACAACUCAAGGGACUUGAGAUUGGGCAAGUGCCCCAACAUUGGGAUCUCUUCACAUUCUUCGCANCAUUAACUUGUUAAGUCCCACAUCUCCAACUGCCAUCUUCUGACUCCAUAAUGGAAACCUACUGCCUUUGUAUCCAGAAAUCUUUAACUUCUUCAAAUCUGAGUGAGGCUGCAGGCCUUCCAAUACAUUCUCAUCAUUUCUUUCACCUUCUCUCUCAUCACCCCAUUUCAAACGCAACUUCAAUAUUUUUGACUUUUGGAAUAAAUUGGCUUUCGCAGCCUCUUCCUUGUCAUGAACCCUUUCGAGAUUGCGAAUCCGUAGCCCUCCUUUAAGAUUAUUCAAACUUCCGAGCUCUUCAAUUUUGCACCCAUUCUCAUCCCCCACUGGGAAGUACUUCAGCGUUUGAAGAGACGUUAAUCUCCCGAUUCCCGCAGGCAACUCUACCUUCUCAGUAAUAUAAAGAUGCCUCAAGUUAAUCAAGUACUUAAUCGUACUUGGCAGUUUCUUCAAAUAUUCUGAGACUACUCUCAACGUCUGCAAGUGAAAGAAUUCACCAAUCCAAUCCGGCAAAUAUUCAAUUCUUGUCUUCGAAAUGUCAAAAUAUCUCAAAUGUAUCAACUUUUGAAUCGAACUUGACAACUCUUUAACUCCAUACUCAAGACGUAAAACAUGCAGACUUUCGAAGUCUGAGAAGUUGAUACCAGAACUAUCACAUCCAUAUGAUAUUAAUAAUGUACGCAAAGAUUUUGCCAUUUCUUUUGGGAUAGGAUUUGAUUCUUCUUUUUCGAGAGUCAUGU